AAGCGUUUAUGACCAGACUUUUUCCUAGUGGAUCAUCCGGUGUUCUCACCGGUGCACUUCGCUAGGUUGAGGCCAGCAUCGGUUUCCGUAGGGGGAUAAAAGCUUUAGGAAUGUGGCUCUUCGGAGUGUUAUAGCCCUCGGUGCAAUGCCGCCUACCUGGACCGAGGACCGCGCUUCGGCUAGGAUGCUGGCGUAAUGGU
Molecule: ribosomal RNA, 200 nt
Filed under: Xylariaceae sp.
Lineage: Eukaryota; Fungi; Ascomycota; Sordariomycetes; Xylariales; Xylariaceae
Description: partial large subunit ribosomal RNA
Source: RNAcentral